GCGGCGGCGGGCAGCCCUGCGGCGGGGGCGUUUGGCGAUGGGCGCCGGCGGGGAGCGGGACCGGCGUGGGAGUGGGGGAGCGCGGAGCCCCCGGCCGCCGCUGGCUGGGGGUCGCAGCGGCUGAAGCGGCGGCCCAAAGGCAGCCCGGACGCCACGAUGAGGGGCAUCCCGGGCUUCAAGCGGCUGCGGCUCAAAAUCUGGCGGCGAUGCACCCUGCUGCUCCUCCUCCUCCUCUGGGCUGCCUGCUGGCUGGUGGUGAGCGCCUUGCUCUUCGUCCUCCACAGGAGCGUCUUCUCCGAGCGCUGCACGGACGAGAAGAGCCACCGGAUCCUGGCGAGGCUGUGUCUUGACUACAGCAGCGGAGCCCUGACUGGUGACCUCUGUGAAGACCUGUGUGUGGCACAGAAGCUGGUGUACAAACACUGCCUUUACUAUGACAGAGGUAAGAAGGUCAUCCAGGCUGACUGGAGAGGCCAGCCCAUCAUCCUGAAAUCCAAAAAGGAAAUCUUCUCCAGCUACCAGCAUCUCAGUAUGCUAGAGGAGGUGGAAACACAGGAUAUUCCUGAAACAGAGCUUCUGCUGAUGGUAGCCUUGGAGGUCAAAAAUGUCCUGGGGCUAGAACUGUCUAACAAUUCCAUGGGGCCUCUGUGGACGAGGAAGAAGGGACCACGUUGGAAAGCACAGGUGGCCAGCAUGUGGUCCUUGCUCCAGCAGGAAGAAUAUAUCUACUUCAGUUUGCUGCAGGACUUCAGCAAACACGUGCUACGAAUUAUUGGCUCUUGUGGACACUUUUAUGCUGUGGAGUAUCUUACAGCUGGACAUGCCUGGCACAAAACUCUUUUUCCCUUGGAAAACGUGGUCGGUCCCUCCCUUGCUGGCCACAGAAGCAGGGUGAGAGCCAUCAUUGACAUUGCACUCAGCUUUCUCGACAUGGUGCAGCAUUUUGACAACGAUUUCUCUCACCGACUUCACCUGUGUGACAUCAAACCAGAAAACUUCGCUAUCAGGCAUGAUCUCACGGUGGUGGCCAUCGAUGUGGAUAUGGCCUUUUUUGAACCCAAAAUGAGGGACAUCCUUGAACAGAACUGCACAGGAGACGAAGACUGUAAUUUUUUUGAUUGCUUUUCAAAAUGCAAUCUGAAAAUCAGAAAAUGUGGAGCACAGAGAGCCAACAACAACUUGCAAGUAAUCUGUGACAAAAUAUUCCGUCGCUGGUUUUCCCCAAAUCUCAGAGGACCGUUGGUUUCCCUCCCCCUGCAGCUGCAGCUGCAGAAGGCGGUGCAGGAGUGUGCCGAGCCGGGGCACGUGGACGCUGCCGGGCACCAGAGGACUCUGAAAUCUCUCUCGGAGCUAUACCACCUGCUUCGGGUCACGCAGCGAGAACUGCAAAGGGCAGAGUAGACACAAAAGGCAGAACUGCAAGGGCCGCAUCCCAGCCGCUGCUAAGGGACGCUGUGUAUGAGGCAGUCUGCGUUUUCUUUCUCUCUCUUCCAUCUCUCCUACCCCUCGUAUUACAUUUACAGCACAGAGAUUGUUUUUCUCCUAUGCAAAUGAAAUUCAUGGCUGCGGGUGCAGCACCUCCUGUUAAUAUCCUUUCAAGUGUGAAAUUGUUUUACAUUACCUGGAUUCUGUUCUUGCUUAUUUUCCUGAGCUAGCGCUAGCCCUCUCCAUCAGCAGACAGCACAUCGUUUGCUUACCAAGAGCUGUAGUCACUGCUCAGAUAGCAUCUGAGUGCGGUGCUCAGGGUGAGGAGGCAUUUACAGAAGAAAAGUGUAAGUGCAGCAAAACUAGUAUCAAUAAUUAAAGUAGUGGGUGGGUGGGUGUGGACAAGUACAUGAAUGGUGUUUGUUUUAAUUUCUCCGUAGAAUAAUUUUUUUUUUAAGUAGGGACAGAGUGCUCUGUGUGAAAAAACAAUCUCAAAUAGGGAAAUGUAUUGUCACAGAAGUGAAGAGUUUCUUUUAUACAAAGCAGUCCUUUCUGAUGUCCCCAAAUGCAUUUUCUCUGGUGUGUUGCAUUACCUGUGCCACAGCUAACUUUCUGGUGAGAAACUGUAUGAAGGUACUUAGGACUUUUCUAGAGCAAAAUAAUUAUACCCUUGUCAAGUUCCCAUGUGGGCACUCAUAUUCUGCAGUGGAGCGGUAUGAAUAAUGCCACUGAAUUUUGCCAUGUGAACAAGCCCUCAGGCACUUGUACAUCAGAGCACUUGAUAAGAAGCACUCCUUUGCCAGAGAGCAGAAUUACCCAGGAAUGCCAACAAUCUGUCGCUUGCACUGAACAGAAAAAUAUCCAGACCUGGUGUUUUCUUACACAGUAUUUUUUUAAUGAACAAAAGGAAAUUUUUUGUAAGAAUUCAUUAUCUUGCAAUCAGUUACAUAAAAAAAGAUCCCUAGAUUAACUUAAAAUCAUUAACUUUGCUUUUCAAGCGCAUGUAGCUGUGGCUGGAGAAUCUAACACACAGGUUCAGAAAGCACUGCGUGUGUUUCGGUCCAAUACUGGGCAAUAUACCCCUGAGCUGGUUUUGGCAUGAAGACAUUAAAAACUCCACAAACAGAAAAAAACCGACAGCCUGCGACAGCCCCUCAGCUCAGGACGACUCUUCAAUAUUAAGACUGACAAUACUGGUUUGUGGAUGUGAGACACAUAACAGUACCUAAUCUUUUUUGUCUUUGUAUCCCUCAGCUGUAUGACAGCCCUGAAGCCCUUGAGCACUUAUCAUACAUAAACUUCCAAUUUCUGGAGUGGUUCUUUAAAGUGAUGUCAAAGACUGCCUGUGACCAGAAAAAUGUGAGCUGCUUAGGAGACCUUGACACUUAUCCAAAACUAGCUCAAAUUUUCGGACUAGUGCUAGUUUUUUUUCUAUUUCUUGCAAUAAACUACCGUAAUUUUAAAAAUCAUGCAAGCCCUCAAGAAGCUCACAGCGAGGGCAAGGUCGGCUGCCUUGCCUGGGGCUGUACUGAAGAGAAGCUGCUGCUAAGCCAGAGCUACAGCUUAGGAGCUGUUGGCUGGUGAAGUUGUGCUCAGUCUGUGCUUCUCCUCUAACCAGGGAGACAGGCAAUAUUUCACUACUUUAGGAUCAUCCUUUGCAAAAGCAGGAAGGCAAAGCAGAACCAGAAGAAACCCAAAUUCAGAACAAGCCCUGUUGCAAAGUUGUGAAAUUGAUAGAGGAGAAAAUAAUUAAGGAUAGAAUCAGGUUAUGGUAAAGGGCUGGGGACAGAUGAAGCAUCAGGUAGAGAAAGGAUAAGGAAAAAGAGAUGAAGGAGAAAUAGGAAAAGUGAAGUAAAAAAUAUGGCCCACUUUUUGUGAAAACAUGAUUUAUGAUGUAAGAUUGAAUAAACUGGCAUUUACUGUGAGGAAGAAGAGAGCAUGGUACUCUUACUGAAGAGAAGCAUGGUAACACUCUUCAGAAACAGAAAGAGGCUGAUAAAAAGAGAGUAGGAGAGAACUGCCCUGUCCAGAUUUCCUUGGUGGAUAUGGCAAGCAAUGAGCUUAAAUUGUAGCAAGGACAAUUCAGGCUAGAUGUUUGUUACAGUCUUUCUAAUACUAAGGAACGGUGGAGAUAUGGCACACAUCAUUUGGGAAAACUUCCUAAGCUGUGAUUUUUUAACUACAGGCAAGAGUGAGUGCCUGUCAGGAAUGAGGUAUGUGCAGUUACGUCAAUGAUCCUGCCUUGAGGUAGCCUUUUAUCUCCAAGUCCUGUGAUUCUGUUAUUACCAGCUAGUAUUUGUGCUCUUGUGACCCCCUUGCAACAGAAUCCACCUUUCUGAGACACGGGGAUAGGUAACUCUCCUUUACCUUACAUGUGCAAAUCCGUGGGGUCUCCCGGGGAGGGAAGGCACGGCACAGAGAUCUCCAACUGUGCAAAUGAUGCUACAGAGCCCGGUGGUGCCAUCGGGGUUCGUGUGUUCCCCACACGACCCCCCUGCUGAAGGCACUGAUCCUUGCUAGGUCAGGAGUGACCCAGUAUAUACCCCAAAUGCUGCUGGGGAACCUGAAGACCUUUACAUUAUCGCUGUCUUGGUUCCCUCGGUCCCGUUAAUUCUUUCCUCCUUCCCAAGGCCGGAGGGUACCAUCAGGGAAAAGCAAGGCUCAUGCAGACGCCCAGUGCGUUGCGGCACUGUCACAGCCCACCGCGGCCGGGGUCCCCUUCCCAUUUUCAGGUUUGCCUUUCAAACAGGCUAAAUUUCCGCUGGAUGUGAUGUUUCGGUUUUAAAACGGGUGGAAAAAAAACACAGAAAAAUGAAAGCCGGUGGCAGCCGAACGCUGGUGGAAUGUCACUCUGCUCAGAAGGUCCUUCUCCUUGGCAGGAUUUGGGAGGGGAUGCUGCCUUUGACAGAUUUCUCCAACCCCCCCCAGGGCCUGGCUGCAGCCACCUCCACCUGGCAGGGACCUCCUUCCCCCACACCACACACUUUCCCAGGUUGUUAGGUUUCACUUCUUCUUUUCAGAAUACAGAGAAUAAUCCUCAGAAACUUCUCAAAAGCGACACAAACGGGUUAUUUAUACUUGGCUGUGAGGUUGCGUAUCACUGAUGCAGCCGGCUUCGGCUGCCUUUGGUACACCUUCACUGGUGAGUGGAAAAACAAGGAUAAUCUGACGGGCUAUGUGAACCUGAUUCUUCACCGCCUCCCAUGCACCUUGUAAAGUCACUCAAACCUGGGAAACGGGAGAGAAAAACACUACCAGUGAAACAAAUGAAAUAUUCCAACUUAUUUAGCACAGGUACCUGUGACCAAAACAGGAAUAAAACAGUAGUCAUGCCUUUAUGUCCCUGGGACAGAAAGAAAAGAAAAUGAAGACACUGGUUUAGUUGCCGUUUACCUUAAGGAGGCAAGUGCAAACUGCAUUAUUUUACACCUGUGUUUUUAAGGUGUUGCACAAUGAAGAACCAGGCUCACACGUCCCUUCCAACAAAGCACUUUUCAUACUGCCUUGGCAGCACUGCCCACCAGAAAGAGCCCUGGCAUAAAGAGAUGCCCAGCUGGCACUUUUGCCAGUUUCUAUAUGGAAAAAUCUGCAAGUUAUUUUCCCAGUUUUAGUUAAUUUAUGCUGAAAAGGUUUGCAAAAUAAAAAGAUGAAGAUUGAAAUUAAUCACAAUUUUAAAAACAGUGUUUUUUCUGGUCUGCACAGUGAAGCUUGUUAGUACCCUCAUCACUUUCUGAUGUUUAGUUUUCAUCCCAAUUCAGAUGAGAAAUUUCAUGAAAGCUCAAAAUCUUUUGCAGAGACUUUUUUCACCCAGCCCCAGUGGUCAGAUCUGGAAAAGAGGAGGUCCACAUAUAGUUUUUGAAGUCACCUUUGCUUCCCACUUCAUUUCUGCAUACUGUUUGUGAUCUUAACCUGGGCUGCAAUGGUUUCUGCUUGAUUUCGCUCACUUUCAGGUAUCUCCAAAGCUCCUGCCUACUGGCAUCCCUGUUUGGUAUCCAGUUCACCACAGCUUUGCAAAAUCAUAGACUGCAUAAGAUUCUUCACACUGUUCAUCCUCUCCAUAUAAAAGAUGACUCCUCUUAUAUAGGUUCACUAAUAGCAUUUGGCUGCACUGGGAAUGGCCACUUAAUCCAAGGCGGCUGUUCCCGUUCGAUUGAUCUCAGCCCCAUCUCUUUCCUCGGUCAGUCUGUUCCUGAACCCUUUUCGCCCUAUAAAAGUGGCACUACCUCUUGAUUCAUUUCUACCACUUGCUGCAUUAGUGCCUUACUCAGCAGCUUUCUCCCCAUAUUUAUGGCUCUCUGUGAAACAGGAAUGGCAUUAAGUCAUUGUUUAUUCCCUCUUUGCAUCUUGGUUAGCUGCAUGUGCGUCACCUCUGCAAUAAUCUAAAUACACUGUCUAUUCCCACAUUUUACAAGACAUGAGUCCAGUUGGAGGUCUACUUCAUAAUCUCUAGGAAGGAUAAAUUCAACCCUUUCCGCAAGAUUUUCACAGAACAACUACUUCUUAAGCACAGAUUUUUCUCCACCUGGCAUUGUAUGCUCUGCAAAAACAUCCACAAGCGAUAGUCCUGCGCUAGGGUGAUGUGAAACAGCAAAACGCCUUGUCCCAAAGGACUUAUGUGGUCUCCCUUGUGUUUUGAGGUUGACUUAACAGUGACUAACCCAGAACAGCAGGUCAUUGCUAUAGCCACAGUUUUUCAUAUAGACACUACUACUGUCUAGUGUGAAUUCACGGAGCCCUCCCUCCACUGAGAGCAUUCAGAUACAUUGCUGGAGGCAGCACUAGAGAUAACAACAGAUAUUUGGUACUGGGACAGAAGAGAGGGAAGGGUUUGUUUUCUUUCGAUUAGAAAUGUUGCCUGAACGAAACACUUCCUACAGGUGAAAAAUGGGAUCAAAAACUUGAAGGAGUUAAGGACUCCUCACUGAUUUUCUUUUUCCUUUGUUAAAAAGUGUAGACUCAAGCUGCCCUAUUUAUUUUUUAUGUAGUUUUUCUUAAAAAAAAAAAAAAGAAUUAAAGAAGUCACAUACCAUGUUGCCUGUCUUUCAGCAGAUCAUAUUGUUGUAUGUAAUGGGCAGGAAGGUGAUAAAUUACCGCUUUUAAUGAGUAUUAGGCUGUAACAUUGGAGCCUUUACACAUCUGGAGAACCAACUGUAAAGAAACCCCAUAACCGGUAUCAGUGGAAGCAUACAAUCAGAUUAGCCAUCUUGGCAGAUGCUCUUGGAAGCCUAGUACAGACGAAUGAUGAAAUCCCACUGUCAGGGCUGACCUGCAGUGAGUCCAAGCAAUAAGCAGAGUCAUGCUGCAGAAGCCUCAGUUGCUGCCACUUCCUUGGAUCCUCAGUGAAAUCAGGAGGAAGGCUACUAGGCUUUCAGUAGCAGAAAAAGGCAGCAACACGUAGAGAGGGAAAGAAUGACUUGCCUGGAAGAAUAAGAAUCCAGACUCAGAACCAAAACUAAUAAGAGACCCCAUACUGAAAAUUCAGAGAACGUCAAUAAAUUGAUUGGGAAAAAAAUCCCAAACACUUCUAUUGUAGUUCUUUAAAAUAAAAAAGAACAGCAGCACAUGGGAUAUAGUGCAGGCAUCUCCAGAGCCAUUUGUUGUAUGUGUCUAAGGAUCUGUCAAGUAGACUGCGGAGCUGUAUAAUGAUGUCUGCAGCCUAAAGGCUAGACAGAGUAAAAUAACUUAACAAAAGCUUUUAGAACUACUAUUUACAUAAAUGCAGAAAACUGCCCUAAUUAGUAACAGCCUAUGUCAGCCAAAAAAGGAGAAAAGAGUGCUUUUCUCAAUAAAAGUGUCAUUAUGUCUAGAAAUGAAAGUACGGCAAAAUGUUGAAAUCCCUGAAAGGCUACGAUCCAUAAUCCUGCGGUUUGUUUAAAGUUUUGAUCCCGCAGGCUUGGGCCCCUGCGCAGCAGAGUGAUUGCUGAGCUCCUUCCAACUCUGUGAUUAUUGGUGCCUUCUGCAAUAUACUUUGAGCUUCUUUUUCUGUAAACUGGACGGUUUUUUUCCUACACUACAAAUGCGCCUAAGUGGUGACGGCCGCCAGAAGGAUGUGCAUAUGAUCCAGUGCAUAAUCACUUCCACAAGCAUCUGCUGCUAGUGCUUUCAAGAUACAUGUAAUCCAAGCUGGAGACUAUUGUGAAUACCUCUCAUUUUCCCUUGCUGGUUCCUUAGCGGUUUGCUUGUAGCUAGUUAGAAACAGAAUCCCCCAUCCUGCUUAAAUUGGUUAUAAUCUCUCCAAGAUUCGUGCUACAGCAGGAAAAGACCAAACUGCAUCGAGUUCAGGGUGGGUUCAUUCUCUUAAAGGUACGACAUGCAAAGAUGCAGGAAAGAACAGAGGUUAAUUUUUAUUUCUAAAGAAGAGGUCCUCUGGCUAAAUGUAAGUAGCUGAAAAAAUAGAUGUUUCAACCAAUAUUCCACGUACAAUUGUGAAUUAACAUUUGUCUGUAUUUGCAUAAUCUAAAGCCCUCUGCUCCUUUCCCAUUCUAAAGAAAAUUAAAAAAGCAGAAUGUGUUUACUACUCCAAAUUUCACAGGUAUGCCAAUUACUUCUUUCCCAUUUCUAUGUCAGACAUUUCAGGUUGUGUCUUUGUCCUUAGGAAAUGGAUUUUUUCCAUUAUCCCUAGAAAGUGAAUAUCUGGAAAAAUACAGAUUCCCAAAAGUAAUUUUCUUCUCUUGUUCAAGGGUUGUUAUGCACCAUUCAAAUCUUGCAGAGAGUUAUCAGUGGCUAAAUAUUUAUUACAUGAAACCAGGGCCUUAUUAAUGGAAUCAAUAUCUAACAAUAACUAAAUAAAUAUCCAUGUAAUUACUCCAGUGUUCAGAAUUUUGCUUUUAAUGGAACGAUACCAGUACUAUCCUAUCUGAUUAUAGAUUACAUAUGUACAAGUAAGUGCUUUGCCAAACUUAUGUUCCGAUAUGCUUUCACAUGGAUUAAGUCUACAACUGACUAUUGGUGAAACUGUGUACCUGGACCGGAUCAUAGAGGAAAAAAAACAACCCUUACAAACUUAUAUCCAUGGUCUUUCUUUUAGCCAUCAUAUUCAAUUGUUUGUGGAGUAAAGGCAGUGUAUGCGCAC
Molecule: RNA transcript, 8497 nt
Organism: Aquila chrysaetos chrysaetos
Lineage: Eukaryota; Metazoa; Chordata; Aves; Accipitriformes; Accipitridae
Gene: DIPK1C
Gene name: divergent protein kinase domain 1C
Exons: 5
Source: RefSeq, a predicted model, not a curated record